Molecule: transfer RNA, 76 nt
Filed under: Candidatus Poribacteria bacterium
Lineage: Bacteria; Candidatus Poribacteria
Description: tRNA-OTHER
Rfam family: tRNA
About the family: Transfer RNA (tRNA) molecules are approximately 80 nucleotides in length. Their secondary structure includes four short double-helical elements and three loops (D, anti-codon, and T loops).
Source: RNAcentral
GCCGCGCUAGCUCAAUUUUGGUAGAGCAUCUGCACUGUCAUGUAGGAGGUUACGGGUUCGAAUCCCGUGCGCGGCC